Long non-coding RNA from Myotis lucifugus (little brown bat), 497 nucleotides. RefSeq lists it as uncharacterized. The record is from RefSeq and is a predicted model, not a curated record. Lineage: Eukaryota; Metazoa; Chordata; Mammalia; Chiroptera; Vespertilionidae. The transcript has 3 exons.
AAGAAGGAAAAAGUGGGACUGUCAGUAAAGUGGAUAUUACACGCUUCAGAGUUCUCUGUAGCCAGUGCUUGUCGCUGGUUUUCAAAUAGCUACUUGGCCCGUGAGGCUGUGAACACAGAGGGUGCAUUUGAUCGCAGUGUUUGCUGAGACGUGUGGCUGGGAGGACGGGGCUGUAGCUCCAUCUCGCCGCCGCCUUUCCCUGCCCCGGCCAAAGUCCAGCAAAUGGGCAAAGUGAGGAGCAGGAGGGGCGGGACUUGGCUGACGUCCAUCCUCGGCAGCAUCCUCCCUGACCUGGAUCCUCACGAGGAGACUAUUAGGAAGCCUCAUGCGUACCUCCUUUGGGGACCCUAACAUUGGUGUGAAAACCCAGGAGGGUUCCACGGGGAAGGGGAGCAAUCGCUGGCCUCCCUCCCUUAUGGCCAAGGAGGACACCGGAUCCAGGACCUCUCCUUCCCCAUUGCUGGUGCCCCACUCAAUACCGGCUCGUUUCAUCUCUG